UCCGGUUUGGCACCGGCAGUCUUCCUAGAGUCCCCGCCAUUACGCGCUGGUAACUAAGAACAGGGGUUGCGCUCGUUGCGGGACUUAACCCAACAUCUCACGGCACGAGCUGACGACAGCCAUGCAGCACCUGUGCAUGGAUCCCGAAGGAGGCUUCUGGUUUCUCAGAAGUUUCCCAUGCAUGUCAAGCCUAGGUAAGGUGGGGAUGACGUGAGUGACCUU
Molecule: unclassified non-coding RNA, 222 nt
Filed under: uncultured Gemmatimonadaceae bacterium
Lineage: Bacteria; Pseudomonadati; Gemmatimonadota; Gemmatimonadia; Gemmatimonadales; Gemmatimonadaceae
Description: contains 16S-23S intergenic spacer region
Source: RNAcentral